This 889-nucleotide ribosomal RNA is filed under the name uncultured bacterium. RNAcentral describes it as "bacterial SSU rRNA". It matches the Rfam family "Bacterial small subunit ribosomal RNA", at positions 505 to 1397 of the family's 1533-position model. The record is from RNAcentral.
GUGCCAGCAGCCGCGGUAAUACGGAAGGUCCGGGCGUUAUCCGGAUUUAUUGGGUUUAAAGGGAGCGCAGGCCGAUGGUUAAGCGUGACGUGAAAUGUAGCCGCUCAACGGCUGAACUGCGUCGCGAACUGGCUAUCUUGAGUGAGUUCGAUGUUGGCGGAAUUCGUGGUGUAGCGGUGAAAUGCUUAGAUAUCACGAAGAACUCCGAUUGCGAAGGCAGCCAACAAGGCCUUUACUGACGCUAAAGCUCGAAGGUGCGGGUAUCGAACAGGAUUAGAUACCCUGGUAGUCCGCACGGUAAACGAUGGAUGCCCGCUGUUCGCGAUAUACAGUGAGCGGCCAAGAGAAAUCGUUAAGCAUCCCACCUGGGGAGUACGCCGGCAACGGUGAAACUCAAAGGAAUUGACGGGGGCCCGCACAAGCGGAGGAACAUGUGGUUUAAUUCGAUGAUACGCGAGGAACCUUACCCGGGCUUGAACUGCAGGAGAAGGAUACAGAGAUGUUGACGCCCUUCGGGGCUCCUGUGGAGGUGCUGCAUGGUUGUCGUCAGCUCGUGCCGUGAGGUGUCGGCUUAAGUGCCAUAACGAGCGCAACCCUUUUCGUCAGUUGCCAUCAGGUGAUGCUGGGCACUCUGGCGACACUGCCACCGUAAGGUGUGAGGAAGGUGGGGAUGACGUCAAAUCAGCACGGCCCUUACGUCCGGGGCUACACACGUGUUACAAUGGGGCAUACAGAAGGCCGGUCGCCCGCAAGAGCGAUCCAAUCUUAAAAGUGUCCCUCAGUUCGGAUUGGGGUCUGCAACCCGACCCCAUGAAGCUGGAUUCGCUAGUAAUCGCGCAUCAGCCAUGGCGCGGUGAAUACGUUCCCGGGCCUUGUACACACCGCCCGU